This 272-nucleotide unclassified non-coding RNA is filed under the name Phylloporus sp. RNAcentral describes it as "partial contains small subunit ribosomal RNA and internal transcribed spacer 1". The stretch from base 1 to 46 matches the Rfam family "Eukaryotic small subunit ribosomal RNA", at positions 1786 to 1831 of the family's 1831-position model. The record is from RNAcentral. Lineage: Eukaryota; Fungi; Basidiomycota; Agaricomycetes; Boletales; Boletaceae.
AAGUCGUAACAAGGUUUCCGUAGGUGAACCUGCGGAAGGAUCAUUAACAAAAAAUCGUGCAGGGGGGAGGCCGGCCUCAUAAGCUGAGGUUUGAAGCCUCAGUUCUUGUGUCGUCGUGUCCCCCUCUUGGCCGUGUCCCCGGUGCCUUGCCCUGGGCUGAGGUUUGAAGCCUCAGUUCCUGGGGGAGAAAAGGCCUCCCGGGGACAUUACACCCGAGGGCGUUUUCCCUCUCUUGAAGGAGGGGGAGGAGCCCGAGGUAGUCGACUCUCCCG